UCCCUGAGACCUUAACCUGUGUCACGUGGUUCCGUCAGUUCACACCGGUCUUUGUCUCGGGGUAA
RNAcentral lists this microRNA precursor (65 nucleotides) under Eisenia fetida (common brandling worm). Its description in RNAcentral is "Efe-Mir-10-P3i_pre stem-loop". The record is from RNAcentral. Lineage: Eukaryota; Metazoa; Annelida; Clitellata; Crassiclitellata; Lumbricidae.